Molecule: ribosomal RNA, 507 nt
Filed under: uncultured Glomus
Lineage: Eukaryota; Fungi; Glomeromycota; Glomeromycetes; Glomerales; Glomeraceae
Description: SSU rRNA
Rfam family: Eukaryotic small subunit ribosomal RNA
Source: RNAcentral
AGCAGCCGCGGUAAUCCCAGCUCCAAUAGCGUAUAUUAAAGUUGUUGCAGUUAAAAAGCUCGUAGUUGAAUUUCGGGGUUAGCAGGUCGGUUGUGCCAUCGGUAUGAACUGGUCUCGCUGAUCCCUCCCUCUUGACGAACUGUGAUGCCAUUAAUUUGGUGUCGCAGGGAAUCAGGACUGUUACUUUGAAAAAUUAGAGUGUUUAAAGCAGGCUCACGCUUGAAUACAUUAGCAUGGAAUAAUGAAAUAGGACGUUUGAUCCUAUUUUGUUGGCUUCUAGGAUUGACGUAAUGAUUAAUAGGGAUAGUUGGGGCAUUAGUAUUCAAUUGUCAGAGGUGAAAUUCUUGGAUUUAUUGAAGACUAACUACUGCGAAAGCAUUUGCCAAGGAUGUUUUCAUUAAUCAAGAACGAAAGUUAGGGGAUCGAAGACGAUCAGAUACCGUCGUAGUCUUAAACCAUAAACUAUGCCGACUAGGGAUCGGAUGAUGUUAAUUUUUUAAUGUACUC